This 850-nucleotide ribosomal RNA is filed under the name Phaeographis aff. intricans Luecking 31025. Its description in RNAcentral is "SSU rRNA". It matches the Rfam family "Bacterial small subunit ribosomal RNA", at positions 345 to 1234 of the family's 1533-position model. The record is from RNAcentral. Lineage: Eukaryota; Fungi; Ascomycota; Lecanoromycetes; Ostropales; Graphidaceae.
AGGGAAGCAGUGAGGAAUAUUGGUCAAUAGCCUAACUGGCUGAACCAGCAACUUGGAGGAAUGUAUAGGGAAAACUGGUAAAAUGUGAUGUACCUAAUAGUAUUAGUGAUUAAUAUGAAAUUAACUAAGUUAAUUAAAAUUCGAAGUAGAUAGUGAUUAUGACAUUAUUUGCUUAUUUCUUGACUAAGUCACGUGCCAGCAGUCGCGGUAAUACGUGGUAGAUCAGUGUUAUUCAUCUUAAAAAGGUUUAAAGGGUACCUAGACGGUUAAUUAAGCAUAUUUUUGUACUAAUUAUUAACUAGAGUUUAAUGUAAGAAGGAUUGAGUACGGUGAGUGUAGAGAUAAAAUUCUGUCAUACCACUUAGGAACUGGUAAAGGCGAAGGCAACCUUCUAUGUAAAAACUGACGUUAAGGGACGAAGGCUCGUAUUAAGCAAUAGGAUUAGAGACCCUAGUAUUGUGGGCAGACAAUGAUGAGUGUCAUAUGCAAGAAAUUUUUUGUGUAUAAAUGAAAGUGUAAGCAUUCCACCUCAAGAGUAACGUGGCAACAUGGGAACUGAAAUCAUUAGACCGUUUCUGAAACUCGUAGUGAAGUAUGUUGUUUAAUUUGAUAAUCCUCAAAUAACCUUACCACAAUUUGAAUUACUGGUGAAUAUUAGUAACUAGCAACAAGCGUUGCACGGCUGUCUUCAGUUAAUGUUGUGAAACUGUGGUUAGAUCCAUUAAAUUGACGUUUACCCUUGCUUUAUUUAUUAUAAAGCAGUUCGCCGCUAUAUUGGUAGUGAUAUAAGGGACUAAGACAAGUCAUCAUGACCUGAACAUUUGUGGGCUAUAGACGUGCUCACAUUAAU